GACGGAGGAUGCAAGCGUUAUCCGGAAUGAUUGGGCGUAAAGCGUCCGCAGGUGGCAGUUCAAGUCUGCUGUCAAAGACCGGGGCUUAACUUCGGAAAGGCAGUGGAAACUGAACAGCUAGAGUAUGGUAGGGGCAGAGGGAAUUCCUGGUGUAGUGGUGAAAUGCGUAGAGAUCGGCAGGAACACCCAGGGGGAAACCAGCCGACUGGGCAUCUGCUGACGCUGAGGUGCGAGAGCGUGGGGAGCGAACCGG
Molecule: ribosomal RNA, 253 nt
Filed under: uncultured bacterium
Lineage: Bacteria
Description: partial 16S ribosomal RNA
Rfam family: Bacterial small subunit ribosomal RNA
Source: RNAcentral